This 504-nucleotide ribosomal RNA is filed under the name uncultured bacterium. RNAcentral's name for it is "partial 16S ribosomal RNA". It matches the Rfam family "Bacterial small subunit ribosomal RNA", at positions 29 to 523 of the family's 1533-position model. The record is from RNAcentral.
AGUGAACGCUGGCGGCGUGCUUAACACAUGCAAGUCGAGCGGUAGCACAGGGAGCUUGCUCCUGGGUGACGAGCGGCGGACGGGUGAGUAAUGUCUGGGAAACUGCCUGAUGGAGGGGGAUAACUACUGGAAACGGUAGCUAAUACCGCAUAACGUCGCAAGACCAAAGAGGGGGACCUUCGGGCCUCUUGCCAUCAGAUGUGCCCAGAUGGGAUUAGCUAGUAGGUGGGGUAACGGCUCACCUAGGCGACGAUCCCUAGCUGGUCUGAGAGGAUGACCAGCCACACUGGAACUGAGACACGGUCCAGACUCCUACGGGAGGCAGCAGUGGGGAAUAUUGCACAAUGGGCGCAAGCCUGAUGCAGCCAUGCCGCGUGUAUGAAGAAGGCCUUCGGGUUGUAAAGUACUUUCAGCGGGGAGGAAGGCGAUAAGGUUAAUAACCUUGUCGAUUGACGUUACCCGCAGAAGAAGCACCGGCUAACUCCGUGCCAGCAGCCGCAGUAA